Molecule: ribosomal RNA, 2031 nt
Filed under: Escherichia coli
Lineage: Bacteria; Pseudomonadati; Pseudomonadota; Gammaproteobacteria; Enterobacterales; Enterobacteriaceae
Description: partial 23S ribosomal RNA
Rfam family: Bacterial large subunit ribosomal RNA
Source: RNAcentral
GCAAGGGGGUCAUCCCGACUUACCAACCCGAUGCAAACUGCGAAUACCGGAGAAUGUUAUCACGGGAGACACACGGCGGGUGCUAACGUCCGUCGUGAAGAGGGAAACAACCCAGACCGCCAGCUAAGGUCCCAAAGUCAUGGUUAAGUGGGAAACGAUGUGGGAAGGCCCAGACAGCCAGGAUGUUGGCUUAGAAGCAGCCAUCAUUUAAAGAAAGCGUAAUAGCUCACUGGUCGAGUCGGCCUGCGCGGAAGAUGUAACGGGGCUAAACCAUGCACCGAAGCUGCGGCAGCGACACUAUGUGUUGUUGGGUAGGGGAGCGUUCUGUAAGCCUGUGAAGGUGUGCUGUGAGGCAUGCUGGAGGUAUCAGAAGUGCGAAUGCUGACAUAAGUAACGAUAAAGCGGGUGAAAAGCCCGCUCGCCGGAAGACCAAGGGUUCCUGUCCAACGUUAAUCGGGGCAGGGUGAGUCGACCCCUAAGGCGAGGCCGAAAGGCGUAGUCGAUGGGAAACAGGUUAAUAUUCCUGUACUUGGUGUUACUGCGAAGGGGGGACGGAGAAGGCUAUGUUGGCCGGGCGACGGUUGUCCCGGUUUAAGCGUGUAGGCUGGUUUUCCAGGCAAAUCCGGAAAAUCAAGGCUGAGGCGUGAUGACGAGGCACUACGGUGCUGAAGCAACAAAUGCCCUGCUUCCAGGAAAAGCCUCUAAGCAUCAGGUAACAUUAAAUCGUACCCCAAACCGACACAGGUGGUCAGGUAGAGAAUACCAAGGCGCUUGAGAGAACUCGGGUGAAGGAACUAGGCAAAAUGGUGCCGUAACUUCGGGAGAAGGCACGCUGAUAUGUAGGUGAAGUCCCUCGCGGAUGGAGCUGAAAUCAGUCGAAGAUACCAGCUGGCUGCAACUGUUUAUUAAAAACACAGCACUGUGCAAACACGAAAGUGGACGUAUACGGUGUGACGCCUGCCCGGUGCCGGAAGGUUAAUUGAUGGGGUUAGCGGUAACGCGAAGCUCUUGAUCGAAGCCCCGGUAAACGGCGGCCGUAACUAUAACGGUCCUAAGGUAGCGAAAUUCCUUGUCGGGUAAGUUCCGACCUGCACGAAUGGCGUAAUGAUGGCCAGGCUGUCUCCACCCGAGACUCAGUGAAAUUGAACUCGCUGUGAAGAUGCAGUGUACCCGCGGCAAGACGGAAAGACCCCGUGAACCUUUACUAUAGCUUGACACUGAACAUUGAGCCUUGAUGUGUAGGAUAGGUGGGAGGCUUUGAAGUGUGGACGCCAGUCUGCAUGGAGCCGACCUUGAAAUACCACCCUUUAAUGUUUGAUGUUCUAACGUUGACCCGUAAUCCGGGUUGCGGACAGUGUCUGGUGGGUAGUUUGACUGGGGCGGUCUCCUCCUAAAGAGUAACGGAGGAGCACGAAGGUUGGCUAAUCCUGGUCGGACAUCAGGAGGUUAGUGCAAUGGCAUAAGCCAGCUUGACUGCGAGCGUGACGGCGCGAGCAGGUGCGAAAGCAGGUCAUAGUGAUCCGGUGGUUCUGAAUGGAAGGGCCAUCGCUCAACGGAUAAAAGGUACUCCGGGGAUAACAGGCUGAUACCGCCCAAGAGUUCAUAUCGACGGCGGUGUUUGGCACCUCGAUGUCGGCUCAUCACAUCCUGGGGCUGAAGUAGGUCCCAAGGGUAUGGCUGUUCGCCAUUUAAAGUGGUACGCGAGCUGGGUUUAGAACGUCGUGAGACAGUUCGGUCCCUAUCUGCCGUGGGCGCUGGAGAACUGAGGGGGGCUGCUCCUAGUACGAGAGGACCGGAGUGGACGCAUCACUGGUGUUCGGGUUGUCAUGCCAAUGGCACUGCCCGGUAGCUAAAUGCGGAAGAGAUAAGUGCUGAAAGCAUCUAAGCACGAAACUUGCCCCGAGAUGAGUUCUCCCUGACUCCUUGAGAGUCCUGAAGGAACGUUGAAGACGACGACGUUGAUAGGCCGGGUGUGUAAGCGCAGCGAUGCGUUGAGCUAACCGGUACUAAUGAACCGUGAGGCUUAACCUU